AGCAUGCACCCUGGAUUGUGGCUGUUCCUGGUUUCCUUAUGCCUCACCAAAGAACUGGCAGAAGCGGGACAGAAGAUGUCCUAUGGAAAUCCAUGUGGGAGCCAAGAUUGCAGUGGAGGCUGUACAUGCUCCCCUGAGAAAGGAGCAAG
Microtus oregoni (creeping vole) is the source of this 149-nucleotide long non-coding RNA. RefSeq lists it as uncharacterized. The transcript is spliced from 3 exons. The record is from RefSeq and is a predicted model, not a curated record. Lineage: Eukaryota; Metazoa; Chordata; Mammalia; Rodentia; Cricetidae.